AGCUUGCUUCUUUGCUGACGAGUGGCGGACGGGUGAGUAAUGUCUGGGAAACUGCCUGAUGGAGGGGGAUAACUACUGGAAACGGUAGCUAAUACCGCAUAACGUCGCAAGACCAAAGAGGGGGACCUUCGGGCCUCUUGCCAUCGGAUGUGCCCAGAUGGGAUUAGCUAGUAGGUGGGGUAACGGCUCACCUAGGCGACGAUCCCUAGCUGGUCUGAGAGGAUGACCAGCCACACUGGAACUGAGACACGGUCCAGACUCCUACGGGAGGCAGCAGUGGGGAAUAUUGCACAAUGGGCGCAAGCCUGAUGCAGCCAUGCCGCGUGUAUGAAGAAGGCCUUCGGGUUGUAAAGUACUUUCAGCGGGGAGGAAGGGAGUAAAGUUAAUACCUUUGCUCAUUGACGUUACCCGCAGAAGAAGCACCGGCUAACUCCGUGCCAGCAGCCGCGGUAAUACGGAGGGUGCAAGCGUUAAUCGGAAUUACUGGGCGUAAAGCGCACGCAGGCGGUUUGUUAAGUCAGAUGUGAAAUCCCCGGGCUCAACCUGGGAACUGCAUCUGAUACUGGCAAGCUUGAGUCUCGUAGAGGGGGGUAGAAUUCCAGGUGUAGCGGUGAAAUGCGUAGAGAUCUGGAGGAAUACCGGUGGCGAAGGCGGCCCCCUGGACGAAGACUGACGCUCAGGUGCGAAAGCGUGGGGAGCAAAC
Molecule: ribosomal RNA, 703 nt
Filed under: Escherichia coli
Lineage: Bacteria; Pseudomonadati; Pseudomonadota; Gammaproteobacteria; Enterobacterales; Enterobacteriaceae
Description: bacterial SSU rRNA
Rfam family: Bacterial small subunit ribosomal RNA
Source: RNAcentral